This 305-nucleotide ribosomal RNA is filed under the name uncultured bacterium. RNAcentral describes it as "bacterial SSU rRNA". It matches the Rfam family "Bacterial small subunit ribosomal RNA", at positions 337 to 660 of the family's 1533-position model. The record is from RNAcentral.
GCCUACGGGGGCAGCAGUAGGGAAUAUUGCUCAAUGGGGGAAACCCUGAAGCAGCAACGCCGCGUGGAGGAUGAAGGUUUUCGGAUUGUAAGCUCCUUUUGUUAGAGAAGAUAAUGACGGUAUCUAACGAAUAAGCACCGGCUAACUCCGUUCCAGCAGCCGCGGUAAUACGGAGGGUGCAAGCGUUACUCGGAAUCACUGGGCGUAAAGAGCGCGUAGGCGGGAUAGCAAGUCAGAUGUGAAAUCCUAUGGCUUAACCAUAGAACUGCAUUUGAAACUGUUAUUCUAGCGUAUGGGAGAGGUAG